UUUGCCUGCUAGCAUCCUGCCUCUUGGUCUCUCCAGUGUGGUCUCUGCUAGCUGCAAUGUGGAGACACAGUGCUCUCGAGUUCUGUGAGAUAGUCUAACAAGUGCUUGAACCUGAAGGCGUUAUGGGAACUUCUGAACAGAGUCUGCUGCUGUCACUGGAUAGCUCCUGCUGCGUUUGCUUCAAAGGCCACCUAGUGGGGCCACGUGGGGCAUGAGCUCCCAUCCUGACAUUUCUGAGUCUCGGUCUCCCUUGGCUCAGCUGCGCGUGGAGCACCUGUUCUUCAUGUCCCUUCAUCUUCUGGGUCUCAGUUCUCUCACUUUUCCUCGGAUAGGGUUGGGUGGAUAGACCCCCAAGGUGUCUCUAGUCCUUUAUGGUGACCCUGGGCUGCCUCUCUUCAUGAAUGUGGAGAAAGACACAUGGUUUUCCUUCUUGGAACUAUGUUGACUCCAUUUUCAGAGGCACAGAGACCCUGAGCCACAGAGAAGCCCAGCAAGGAUCUAAGGCAUGGGAACUUGAAAGCACUGCUUGGCAGGUGAGGAGGAGGAGCUGGAAAAAAUCCCUCCGGGAAAAGGGGUAGACAGAAGAUCUCCCUGCAGCGUCUAUGGGGUCGCAUGCACCCACAUGGCUCCCGACACACCCCAAGCCAAGGACCCACGCCGUCCCCGGAGGUAGCGUUCUCCUGUCUGAAAGGCUCAGCCUCACUGCAGAGCUUCCUCUUCCCUGGGUGGAUUUUAAGGCCUUUUAUCUUCUCUCUCCCUGUUAUGUUCCCUCCCCUUUUCUAGGAAGCUCAGUAAGCACAUUUUCUAGCUUCCCAUUAGUUGGAUUUGAGUUUCAUCUGUCACCGGUGUGCAGGUGCUCAGGGCUGGCAGGGGUUACAGGUCACCCAGCCAGACUUUGGCUGGCCCCCAUAUGGCCUCUGCAGUGACCUCUGGAAUUUCCCUGUCCACCUUGCCUCACCUCCCUGC
This is a long non-coding RNA of Nannospalax galili (Upper Galilee mountains blind mole rat), 966 nucleotides long. RefSeq lists it as uncharacterized. The transcript is spliced from 3 exons. Lineage: Eukaryota; Metazoa; Chordata; Mammalia; Rodentia; Spalacidae. The record is from RefSeq and is a predicted model, not a curated record.